Solanum pennellii is the source of this 526-nucleotide long non-coding RNA. RefSeq lists it as uncharacterized. Lineage: Eukaryota; Viridiplantae; Streptophyta; Magnoliopsida; Solanales; Solanaceae. The record is from RefSeq and is a predicted model, not a curated record. The transcript has 3 exons.
CCCUAAAAAUCUCCUAUAAAUACUUUUCUUUUCCAUUCAUUGGUGGGAGGGAGGGGGGUAAUACUUCACUGUUAGAGAAAAAUAUUAGGGUGGUGGUGGAAGCCGGUUCAAGCUUCGUUCGUCCGGGACGCUGCUCCAAAGAAGAGGGCAUCAAUUAGGUGGGAGGGGAGGUAAUCAAUGAGGCUGUGGAGGUAGAAUAAAUGGUAAUGCAGGCAUGGAAGUGGUUCGUCAAGAUGAUAAGGUUCAAUGUUAUGCUUUGGCGGGCAAGAAUGAGCACAACUAUUGGAUCGCGUUGCCACUCUCCGGUGCAACUGUUGGAUCAGGUUUCCACGUUCCAACACAAUUAUGGGAUGGAAUUACCACGUUCUGGCAAACUAACUGUUUGAGUUUGGGUUCCAUGAGAGGACCAUUGAAUUGGUUAUGUAUCUAAUUGUGAUGAUUACGUUCAUAUGUAAUGAUUAUUGAUAUUGAAAGACUAUUUAUUUCUCUAAAAUGAUUUAGUUAUAUAUUGUCGAGAAUUAUGAAA